GAUGAACGCUGGCGGCGUGCCUAAUACAUGCAAGUCGAGCGAACAGACGAGGAGCUUGCUCCUCUGACGUUAGCGGCGGACGGGUGAGUAAAACGUGGAUAACCUACCUAUAAGACUGGGAUAACUUCGGGAAACCGGAGCUAAUACCGGAUAAUAUAUUGAACCGCAUGGUUCAAUAGUGAAAGACGGUUUUGCUGUCACUUAUAGAUGGAUCCGCGCCGCAUUAGCUAGUUGGUAAGGUAACGGCUUACCAAGGCAACGAUGCGUAGCCGACCUGAGAGGGUGAUCGGCCACACUGGAACUGAGACACGGUCCAGACUCCUACGGGAGGCAGCAGUAGGGAAUCUUCCGCAAUGGGCGAAAUCCUGACGGAGCAACGCCGCGUGAGUGAUGAAGGUCUUCGGAUCGUAAAACUCUGUUAUUAGGGAAGAACAAAUGUGUAAGUAACUAUGCACGUCUUGACGGUACCUAAUCAGAAAGCCACGGCUAACUACGUG
Molecule: ribosomal RNA, 497 nt
Filed under: uncultured bacterium
Lineage: Bacteria
Description: partial 16S ribosomal RNA
Rfam family: Bacterial small subunit ribosomal RNA
Source: RNAcentral